Mastomys coucha (southern multimammate mouse) is the source of this 423-nucleotide long non-coding RNA. RefSeq lists it as uncharacterized. The record is from RefSeq and is a predicted model, not a curated record. The transcript has 3 exons. NCBI's taxonomy places the organism in Eukaryota, Metazoa, Chordata, Mammalia, Rodentia, Muridae.
UAAACACUGAAGAAUACGUGCUUUUCUCAGGAGCUCACAGAACUUCCUCUAAAAUAGAUCAUGUAUGAGAACACAAAGGAAGUCACAAAAAUUCUAUGUGUAGGACAAACAGUGUUGGUGUGAGUCACUAAUGGAAACCUCAGAUAAUCAGCAUUUUAAACAAGACAGAAAUUUUGCCAGAGGAAACAAUGGGAUAAUUAAGAUUGAGGAUCUCAUAUGUCCAAUGUAACAAGUCAUUUCACUUUUCACUGGAGCCUUGAAUCAGAGAAAUAUCCCCCAAACAAUCUAAAAGUAAUCCUGUGUUGAUGACCACCUAAACAAAAAUGGACUUUCUACCAGCCAAAGGAAGUACACAUUAAUUCUGGCUCAGCUACCAUCCAGAGCAAGCGGAAAGUACAGAAUACCCAUAUUUAAAUACUUCAC